UUAAAAAAAAGGUUGCAAACCAUGGGUUGGCCUGGGGGGUGAAGAAAGAGGAAUUGCUUCACGUUGGUUUCUCCGUCUUUGUUGGAGAGAGAGAGAGAGAGAAACCCAAGUGUUCUUUGAUCCGACCAACAACACACACACACCCCAUUUUGGAAACCAUCAUUUGCGUUACAAUGUCUGUAAUGAACAAAGCGAUCUCUCUACUCCAAGUCAAACAAUCCUCAGAUCUCUCUAAUGGCUCAACCUGUCCUUCCAUCUCCUUCCUCCUCCUCAACUCUUCCCAAAUCUACCUUAACACUGAAAUCAGUGGAAAUUGGGCAGACCCAAUUGGGAUUGAUUGUACCUUUCAAAGGUAGUUCGGCGUUGAGAUUGAAGGCCUCAAAGGAGUCACCGGGACUGACUGAGGGACUCACAAAUAACAAACAAAAGAGCUGCUUAGCAGGAACUCAAAAUGGGUCUGAUCUCUUCAAUGAAAUGAAACAUCGGUUUCUAAGUUUCAAAAAGCAUAAAUUCUUGAAAAACUUAGAAUGCUUUCAAAAUCUUGCUAAGGUUCAGGCACCAAAGUUCAUGGUGAUUGCUUGUGCAGACUCCAGGGUUUGUCCCUCCUACAUCCUAGGGUUUCAACCAGGAGAAGCCUUUGUAGUCCGCAAUGUGGCGAAUCUGGUGCCUCCAUUUGAGAAUGGGCCAUCAGAAACAAAUGCUGCCCUUGAAUUUUCCGUCAAUUCUCUAGAGGUUGAAAAUAUACUAGUCAUUGGUCACAGUUGCUGUGGAGGUAUUCGUGCCCUCAUGAGUGUGCAAGAUAAAGUAAAUUCAAGCUUUAUUCAAAGUUGGGUAGUUGUUGGGUAGUUGUUGGGAAGAAUGCAAGGUUAAGCACGAAGGCUGCUGCUUCCAACCUAAACUUUGAUCAGCAAUGCAGACACUGUGAGAAGGAAUCAAUAAACCGGUCAUUGGUGAACUUGCUUACUUAUCCAUGGAUAGAAGAAAGGGUGACAAAAGGGGUGCUUUCCAUUCAUGGCGGUUACUAUGACUUUGUUGAUUGUACUUUGGAGAAAUGGACACUUGAUUACCAGGAAAGUAGAUGGAGGAAUAGAAGCGGCAUAUACUCUCUCAAAAACAGAGAAUUUUGGUGUUGAUAAUGCCCUUACUAGUUUUCUGAUUUUUUUGAUUUUUGAUUUUUUUAUUUUUUUUUGGGAUGAAUUAUAUGUAACGAGUAUUCUUCAAGUUUAGGAUUGUUUAAAACCUUAGAACUAACUAAAAAAACAAUCCUAAUCCCUCAACCUUGGCAAAAGUUCUGCUAAUUUUUAUGUGUUCCAAUGAAAUGCUCAGAUGUGUCAUGGGCUUAUAGUGUUACGCCUGGUUUUCAA
Molecule: non-coding RNA, 1364 nt
Organism: Camellia sinensis
Lineage: Eukaryota; Viridiplantae; Streptophyta; Magnoliopsida; Ericales; Theaceae
Source: RefSeq, a predicted model, not a curated record